GAGAAAGCCCUUCGGGGUGAGUAUAGCGGCGGACGGGUGAGUAACGCGUAGGAAUCUACCUGGUAGUGGGGGACAACAUGUGGAAACGCAUGCUAAUACCGCAUACGCCCUACGGGGGAAAGCGGGGGACCUUCGGGCCUCGCGCUAUCAGAUGAGCCUGCGUAAGAUUAGCUAGUUGGUGGGGUAAAGGCUCACCAAGGCGACGAUCUUUAGCUGGUCUGAGAGGAUGAUCAGCCACACUGGGACUGAGACACGGCCCAGACUCCUACGGGAGGCAGCAGUGGGGAAUAUUGCGCAAUGGGCGAAAGCCUGACGCAGCCAUGCCGCGUGUGUGAAGAAGGCCUUAGGGUUGUAAAGCACUUUCAAUUGGGAGGAAAGGUUAUGCGUUAAUAGCGUAUAACUGUGACGUUACCUUUAGAAGAAGCACCGGCUAACUCCGUGCCAGCAGCCGCGGUAAUACGGAGGGUGCGAGCGUUAAUCGGAAUUACUGGGCGUAAAGCGCGCGUAGGCGGUUUAUUAAGUCGGAUGUGAAAGCCCCGGGCUCAACCUGGGAACUGCAUCCGAUACUGGUCGACUAGAGUACGAGAGAGGGAGGUAGAAUUCCACGUGUAGCGGUGAAAUGCGUAGAUAUGUGGAGGAAUACCGGUGGCGAAGGCGGCCUCC
Molecule: ribosomal RNA, 663 nt
Filed under: Halioglobus sp.
Lineage: Bacteria; Pseudomonadati; Pseudomonadota; Gammaproteobacteria; Cellvibrionales; Halieaceae
Description: bacterial SSU rRNA
Rfam family: Bacterial small subunit ribosomal RNA
Source: RNAcentral